RNAcentral lists this microRNA precursor (196 nucleotides) under Lupinus angustifolius (narrow-leaved blue lupine). Its description in RNAcentral is "pre miRNA MIR530". The record is from RNAcentral. Lineage: Eukaryota; Viridiplantae; Streptophyta; Magnoliopsida; Fabales; Fabaceae.
GUCCUCAUUCUAACCUCAUCCUCAUCCUCGUCCUCAUCCUUGUCAUCAUCCUAUCCUCAUCCUCAUUCUCGUCGUCAAUGAGGAUAGGAUGAGGACGAGGAUGAGGACGUUGAUAAGGAUAGGAUGAGGAUGAGAAUAGGAUGAGGAUGACGAAAUGGAUUAGGAUGAGGAUGAGGAUGGGGAUGAUGAUAAGGAU